GGCAGUGUGGCAUAAUGGCUAAUGUGCUGGCCUGGGAUUCGGAGACCUGGGUUCCAUGCCUAGCUCUGCUG
RNAcentral lists this transfer RNA (71 nucleotides) under Chelonia mydas (Green sea turtle). It matches the Rfam family "tRNA". From Rfam's summary of the family: Transfer RNA (tRNA) molecules are approximately 80 nucleotides in length. Their secondary structure includes four short double-helical elements and three loops (D, anti-codon, and T loops). Lineage: Eukaryota; Metazoa; Chordata; Testudines; Cheloniidae. The record is from Rfam by way of RNAcentral.